Molecule: ribosomal RNA, 305 nt
Filed under: uncultured bacterium
Lineage: Bacteria
Description: bacterial SSU rRNA
Rfam family: Bacterial small subunit ribosomal RNA
Source: RNAcentral
GCCUACGGGACGCAGCAGUGGGGAAUAUUGGGCAAUGGGCGAAAGCCUGACCCAGCAACGCCGCGUGAAGGAAGAAGGCUUUCGGGUUGUAAACUUCUUUUGACAGGGAAGAGCAGAAGACGGUACCUGUCGAAUAAGCCACGGCUAACUACGUGCCAGCAGCCGCGGUAAUACGUAGGUGGCGAGCGUUAUCCGGAAUGAUUGGGCGUAAAGGGUGCGUAGGCGGCCUGCUAAGUCUGGAGUGAAAGGUACCGGCUCAACCGGUACAGGCUCUGGAAACUGGCGGGCUAGAGAGCAGGAGGGGG